GCAACACAAAACAGGUUGUCUAGGAAUCGCUGUGGACUACAAAUUCCGCAACAUACUUGUUCCCCUUUUUAACAACACAAAUGAAAUAAGCAUUUUUUGCGCAUAAUUUUGAUAUUUUUAACGGCAAUGUUAGCUGAGUCUAGAGAUCCAAAGCCAAUUGGAUCAGAAGCACAAUGGAAGUCCUCCAUCAUUGUGAACAAUAAACAUCCACGGAAUGAAAACAGGCACCAGCGACAUGCAUCCGGCCAAAGAAGUAGCUUUCUGGGACUGGAAACAAAGACAGAGCUGGUCUGGGAGGACUGGGAUGUGGGUAGAGAAUUCACCAAGUCACUAGUGUUAAAGAAUAUUGGCCUCAAGAUCCAGAAACUGCAGUUGAGACCUCCAGUGUCAAAAUUCUUCACCAUGUCAGUUUCCCGGAUCAUUGCUGUCAGCCCAGGAACUACUUUGUCCAUACCAGUCACAUUUAGACCAUCCGAGAGGUGUGCGUAUGAUGACAGCAUUGAGUUCCACGGCAAAAGUGGCAGCUUCCAAGUAUUCCUUCGUGCUAUUAUUCCCUAUCCUGCCUUGGAAGUGCCAGACACGUUGCUCCUUCCGCUCUGUGCUGUUCAUCAGUCUGCUUCUACUACCUUCCAGCUAAAAAAUCUGAGCAAACUCCACACAUACUUCAAGUGGGACUGUUCAGAGCCUUUCCAAGUGAAUCCAGCCCAAGGUGUGCUGAAGCCCAGCGAUGUGCUUGACAUCACUGUCCUGUUCAAACCACAGGCAGCGCUGUUGUUUCAUAAACACGCCUAUUGUAGCUUUGGAGAGAAAGGAGGUGAAACCAACAGCUGCUGCACAGUGCUUCUUCAGGGAGUUGCCAAGUACCCAUGUCUUCAUCUGAGAAGAUCAACUUCCAAGGGUGAAAAAGAUUCUGAUGAUUCAGUGAUUAACUUUGGUUCUGUACCAAUCGGCAAAAGUGCACAAAAGUGUUUUGACAUCUACAAUUCCUCACAUGUAACUGCAUUUUUCUCUCUUACACGUCUUUCUGGAGGCGUGCCCUUGUUGGGGUCUGAGUUCACCUGUGAUAUCAGCAGCAGUAAUGUUGGUCCGGGUGAAACUGUGUCAGCACAAGUCACCUUUGCACCUAUGGUUGCCGAUGCUGUUUCUGUUGAGUAUUUGACAGUAGAGUGCAAAGGGGCACUCAACAAAACAGCGCUUAAGCUCACUGGAAGCUGUGAAGGUCCUAAGGUGUCAUUGUCUUCAUCUGUGGUUGACUUUGGCUGUAUUAAAGAAGGAGCAACAGCCUCAAAGACAAUUGAUAUGAUUAAUUAUUCAUGCGCUGAGGCAACCUAUCAAUGGGACCUUGACUGUGCUGGGCACAGCGUGUUCAGCAUCCGACCACAGUGUGGCACUAUACAACAACAGAGCAGUGUAACGCUGGCUAUUAACUACCUCCCUACCAUGCCUAUUGCAUGUCACAGAAGUAUACCUUGUUUUAUACAUCAUGGGGAGCCUUUGUUCCUUGACCUGAUUGGUACCUGUCAUUCAGGUGCCCAGGAACCAGAUGUACUGACACCAGAGCAUUUGUCAGACAGUAAAAAGGAUCAGUCAGACAUGAUUAGUGCUUCGAUGCCAAGCUAUAGCACAUACCUGGAUGAGUCAAGCCGACAACCUGAUGGUUCAAGUGUUUUUUCAAGCACUCCUAGGGACAACGACAAACGUUGCUCGGUGGAGGUGGAUUCACUUCUGAGCCGUUCACCUUCAUCCUCCACACAUGUAUCUGUGGUGCCUAGUGAGCUGCUGUUUCAUCACAGUUGCUCCAGCUUGUCUUCCUCCCUUACACCUUCUCAGGCCGUCGCCAUCACCAAUUACACCACUGUGAAAAUCACGCUGGUGUGGACCAUUGCCCAAGACUCUCCGUUCUCUGUCUCUCCAAUAACAUGUGACCUGUCCCCACUAAAGUCCACCUCAUUCAGAGUGACAUACAAUCCAAAAGAGCUAAAUACACUACAUGGAGCUCAACUUGAGUGCAUGGCUGUUAAACAGCCGAGGUCUGACGAAGAGGAGAAACAGAUAUGUUUACCCUGGUGUGUCAUCGUCAGUGUGAUUGGCGACUCCUUUGAAUACGGCAAAGAGCACUUUUACCCAUGCUGCUCUCUCGAGCCAAACAAAGUGGUAUUCGCAGGCCAAAGUUUUCGAUCCUGUCAAACUGUGCUUCUCCGCAAUAACGGAGACCAGCCUCUGACUUUUUGUCGAAACCUAAACUACAGUUCAGACCCCGCCUUGGUGGCAUCAGUGUUACUAGUACCGAAAUGCGGCUUAGUCCAACCUGGGAAUCAUCAAAUCCUCACUGUUAUAACGACUCCCAAAGAAGACACUCCGAUAGAGGGACUUAAAUUGAUACUCCAGUUAAAUGGAGCCAAACACAAAAAGGAGAUAACAGUUUUCAGCAUGGUGGAAAAGGUUGGUGUGUCCCUGGAAGGUGGAGGUCAUUUGUAUUUCCAAGAUAUAUCUGUGGGCUCACACACUGAACGGACCCAUUUCAUCAGGAACAUCUGUCGCUUACCUCUAUGCUUCCAGUGGAGCAUUCCAGAGUCAGACCACAAUGUUAUCUCUGUUCAACCAGAUGCCGGUAAACUGCAGCCUAAUGAGAGCUUGUUGCAGAGUUGGUCUUUCAGGCCAAUGGAAGAGAAAACAUACACACUGGAGCCUUCUGUCUUGGUGUGGCCAGUCAACAACCCUGAAUGGGAAAAGUCAAUUAUCCCCCUCAAAGUAGUAGGAACAGGCUCCAGAGGCUUCAUACAGGCAGUUCCAGGAGUUGUUCAUCUGGAGGACACCCUGGUUGGAUGUUCUCAGUCAAUUGAUGUUCCUCUUGUGAACAACAGUAACUGCUCAGUCUGCUUCAUUCUUUUUGUUGAGCAGACGAUACAAAACGAAGAAACUCAACAGGACCCCGAACCUGAGAAAUGUACACCGACAGCUCUGCAGCUUGACCGACAACGCGGAAACAUGGCCUCACGCUCCACAGUGAUGCUCCGAGCCACAUUUAGGCCAGAUAGACAAGCCCUGUACCAGUGGACCAUCAGCUACGUCACACUAAACCGCAGUGGUGUGCCGUUGUCCUCUCCCCAACCAGUGUGUGAAAUCCGUGCUAAGGGUGUGUUCCCCAAACUACAGGUGACCGAUACAUGCAGUGGCGGCAUUGUAGCUUGGCUCAACAAGACAUUUGUUUGGGAACUCUUCUCAGUGGACAGCCUCAAUGAGCAGCUACUCUCCAUCCCCUACCCUGUGGAACACACUUAUAGAAGCCCAGCAAAGCAUAGUAUGCGCACGUACCCCACCAUCUUAAUCAAAGCCAUGUUGGAUUUUAACUUCUGUUCAGCUCCCCUGAACUCAGAACCUUCUACGUUUGUGUUGGUGUUUUACAAUCCUGGCUGCAUCCCUGUAGAGUGGACAUUCUUGUUUCCAGAGGACCAACAGGUAGACUUUAGGCACUGGACCCACUCGGAAGAGUUAUGUAACAAUGAGCUUCACCAGAUGAAGGUUGUGGAACUUUUCAACAUUUCUCCCCGUUCAGGGAUGUUGCUUUCUGGCCAGCAGAGGGCAGUGCAGUUCAGUUAUAGUCACGUCAUGAUUGGAACACAUCAGUUACCAAUCAUAUUGAAAAUUUCACACGGCAGAGAGAUCUUGUUGCACUUCCAAGGGGUGACAGUGGAUCAAGAGACGCCGUAUCUGUACUUUCUAUCCAGGCAUCAUGUUUUCACUCCUGUCAUGAUUGGGGAUUUAACACCUCCAGUGCAGAUGUAUGACCUUUACAACGGUGGUGAUAUUCCUGUCCGUUAUGAAGUGGAUGCGCAUGUGUUGUCGCAGCUACAAGAGAACAGUUUUAAUCAUGCGCUGCUGAGCUGCCUCAACCCAGUAGGAGACAUUCCACCUGGGAAGGUGGCAUCGCUGGAAUUUAUUUUCUCUCCAUUGGAGGCCAAGAUGCACAGUAUGGAUAUUCCCAUUCACAUCCAAGAUGGCGACACUACACUAAUAAGGUUUGACGGCUGUGGCUUAAGUCCCCAAACAGUGUUCACAAGCAGCGAUACCAAAUUAUCACUACCCUGUGUCCGGAGGAUACCCCUACCAGGACUGGGUGCAGCAUUUCUGUCUCAGGACAGUGUUUCUAUAGGCGACAUCCCAGUGUGCUCACAGUCUUCAAGAGUCAUCUUCCUUACGAACGUGUCCCUAAAAGAAAUCCUCUAUAAAUGGAACUUGACCCAGGUUGUACAUAUCUACCCUGAACAAGGACUUCUACAUCCAGGGGAGAGCAUCUUGUGUGUUCUGACAUUCAAGGCAACUGACUACCCUACUAUUUAUCGGCUAGAUAUCACCUGUCAGUUGACACAGCAGGCAGCGUGGGAUCAAUAUUACGAUGCUUUGGAGCGUUUGGCGCAAGAACAAGAGAAGCAGAAAAAUGAAUUCACAAUCACUGACACAGACCUUGCAGAAAGCCGUCGGGUUUUUGCCGAAAAGGUGCCUGCAACUGCUGUUCAAACAAAAGGGCUGUCACUGUGCAAGCACAAGGUGACAGGAGCUUCAUUAUUGUGUACUCUUCCUCCUAUUUGUUCCAAGAUAGCGCGAGCAGAGCAGCAGAUGCAGUCUGAUCCUGUAAAAGUCUGGAAACGCCCUGAACCGCCUCGACCUACUCUGCUGCAUCUGCUCGUGACAGCACGCUCCUAUAGGUCUCAGGAAUACCUCAGACACUUCCCUGAGCAGUUCAAUAAUCACUUCAGGUGCUUCCUCUCUACCAAGCCCCUGAGGCCAAAAAAAACCAUGUUGUGCGAUGCACGCCACCCUGAUGAGCAUCCUUCACCGACACAUGGUCCUGAGCGAAACUUCCUCGAACAUGUCAUCACCUCUGUGCUCUGGACCAUACUGGAUGAUGAAGCAUUUACUCGGCCUCUGCUUUCUUUGGCAUCUAAAACCCUUACCUACAACCCCCGAAUAAGCUCUUCCUCCCCUGUGCCAACACCCCAACCUCAAACCGGGCUGGAGGAGACAACAGCUUCAUCGGAUAUAUUGCACAGCCAAGUGGACAAUAUGAGGAGCGCAGAAUGUUUUGGGACCCGGCUGGAAAUGAAAGCAGACACUCAACGUGUACCUGCUGCCGUGUGCAAUGACAUAUUGCUCAACACCCUCCAGAAUCUGAUGACGGAGGCUGUCAGAGGAGAAUUUAACUUCACAGAGCCUUCUCGGACUGAUCACUCAUCGCAUGCCUCUGCCAGGAGGCACUCCAGUGGCAAAGUCAGGAAGGAUGAGACAGACAGAGAGAAGAUCCAAAACGAAGAAACACAACACGAACAACAAGCCUCACCAUCUGCCUAACACAGGGUUGUCCAAACUUUUUCCACCGAGGGCCACAUACUGAAAGGGCCAUUUUGAUAUUUUGGAAACCAAAAUGUGAAGCUAUGCUAAGAAGUUAUAUAUAUUUCUGGAAAAAAAAUGCAUCUCAGCUUUGUAAUAUAGGUAGGGUAGGGGUGGGCAUCAAGUCUCGCGCAUCAAUGGGAACCAGGACUAACAUUGCGAUUCUCCUGGUAUCGUUCAAAUGUUUUUAUUUUGAUUCCUAUAGUUUCCAUGCCCACUUACACCAACAAAGAAGAAUUCCUCAAGCACCAGUGAAGAAGACGUGGCUAAAAGGGUUGACAGAAGACCGAUCGUACCGGGCCUGGGCUAAGCAUGUCACAUUUGGAUCGUGUGAUCGCAAGGAUCCACACCCAAGCACAGCACAUGCACCUGAGUUAUAGAAUGACUGUAAUGCCAUCUCUCCUUGCAAGUUCUUAAUGAUAAUUGCCACGUUUUAUAAUAUCAAUAAAAUACAAAAUUAGUCAUAAUCCAGAAGUCAAACUCGCCGCUGGGUGGCCGAGUGGUUAGCAUGUUGGCCACACAGUGAGGAGUUUGCAUGUUGUCCCCGUGCUUGUGUGGGUACUCCGGUUUCCUCCCACAUUCCAAAAACAUGCAUGUUAGGUUAAUUGGCGACUCUAAAUUGUCCAUAGGUAUGAAUGUGAGUGUGAAUGGUUGUUAGUCUGUAUGUAGCCUGCGAUUGGCUGGCGACCAGUCCUGGUUGUACCCCACCUCUCGCCCAAAGUCAGCUGGCUCCAGCAUACCCCCGGGACCCUAAUGAGUAUAAGCGGCACAGGAAAUAGAUGGAUGGAAGUCAGACUCACAGCACACUGCCUCAACUACAUUGGUGUGCGUUAAUUGCGAGUAAUUAAUGACUGCCGCCACCUUCCACGAAAUAAUUAGAACAACUCGAAAUAAGAUUGGAAAUAAUCCACAAAUUGCAUGAUUACAACAGAAUAGAAGUGAUGGCCCAAUCAGUUUUUUUGCACUUUUUGGACUGGUGUGGCACCACAAGAUAUCCUCUAUUUAAUACAAGAAUGUCCAAAGUUUUGGCCUGCGGCCGUUUUUUUAAUUGACCCUAAUACAAUUAAACAACAAAAAAUUGAAAAAAAAACCCAGCAGUAAUUUUAUGAGAAUAAAGUCGAAAUGUUACAGGAAAAAAAGUCAUACUUUUACGAGAACAAAGUGAAAAUAUUAGGAACUUUUUACAACCAUGAAUGUGAAAUAUUAAAUUAAAAAUGUUAUUUUCUAAAGUUGCAAUAUGAUGAGAGUUAAGACAAAACAAAAUGAAUUUGCAAAAUUGGGAAAAUUUAAGUUGGGAAAACGUCACAAUAUCGAGUCACAAUAUUGAGAAAAAAGUUGUCAUCUUACAGGAAAAGGGUCAUUUUAUGAGAAUAAAGUCGUAAUGUUCUGAGGAAAAACCAUGUAAUUUUUAUUAGC
Molecule: RNA transcript, 6804 nt
Organism: Dunckerocampus dactyliophorus (ringed pipefish)
Lineage: Eukaryota; Metazoa; Chordata; Actinopteri; Syngnathiformes; Syngnathidae
Gene: cfap65
Gene name: cilia and flagella associated protein 65
Exons: 36
Source: RefSeq, a predicted model, not a curated record